This 109-nucleotide ribosomal RNA is filed under the name Candidatus Wildermuthbacteria bacterium RIFCSPHIGHO2_01_FULL_47_27. The record is from RNAcentral. RNAcentral also lists the same sequence under 3 other names. Lineage: Bacteria; Candidatus Wildermuthiibacteriota.
UAAGGGAGCUAUGCCGGAAGUGCUCCACCCGAUUCCAUUCCGAACUCGGAAGUGAAAUCUUCCAGGGCUGAUGGUAGUCCUUAGGGGCGAGAGUAAGUCGCUCCCUUAC